Molecule: non-coding RNA, 29 nt
Filed under: Rattus norvegicus (Norway rat)
Lineage: Eukaryota; Metazoa; Chordata; Mammalia; Rodentia; Muridae
Source: RNAcentral
UGAAGCAACAGAUAUGUGGAUGGACAAGG